This 520-nucleotide ribosomal RNA is filed under the name uncultured bacterium. Its description in RNAcentral is "partial 16S ribosomal RNA". It matches the Rfam family "Bacterial small subunit ribosomal RNA", at positions 28 to 523 of the family's 1533-position model. The record is from RNAcentral.
GACGAACGCUGGCGGCGUGCUUAACACAUGCAAGUCGAACGGAGAAUUUUAUUUCGGUGAAAUUCUUAGUGGCGAACGGGUGAGUAACGCGUAGACAACCUACCUCUCAGAUGGGGACAACAUCGCGAAAGCGGUGCUAAUACCGAAUGAUGUAACUUUUCUGCAUGGAAGAGUUACCAAAGGCGGCCUCUAUUUAUAAGCUGUCACUGAGAGAUGGGUCUGCGUCUGAUUAGCUAGUUGGCGGGGUAAUGGCCCACCAAGGCGACGAUCAGUAGCCAGUCUGAGAGGAUGAACGGCCACAUUGGGACUGAGACACGGCCCAAACUCCUACGGGAGGCAGCAGUGGGGAAUCUUCCGCAAUGGACGAAAGUCUGACGGAGCAACGCCGCGUGUGUGAAGAGGGUUUUCGGAUCGUAAAGCUCUGUUGUUUGAGACGAACGUGCAAUUUUUGAAUAAGGAAUUGUAAUGACGGUAUUAAACGAGAAAGCCACGGCUAACUACGUGCCAGCCGCCGCGGUAA